GAUGAACGCUGGCGGCGUGCCUAAUACAUGCAAGUCGAGCGAAGCGGGGACGGGUGUGAAACACGCUGAUAACCCCCUAUAAGAAUGGGGUAACUUCGGGAAAACUGAGGUAAAACGGAUUCUGAUACAUGGAUGCGUUCUGUAUUUGCUAGUUGGUAGGGUAACGGCUUACCAAGGCAACGAUGCAUAGCCGACCUGAGAGGGUGAUCGGCCACACUGGAACUGAGACACGGUCCAGACUCCUACGGGAGGCAGCAGUAGGGAAUCUUCCGCAAUGGGCGAAAUCCUGACGCAGCAACGCCGCGUGAGUGAUGAAGGUCUUCGGAUCGUAAAACUCUGUUAGUAGGGAAGCGGUACCUAAACAGAAAGCCACGGCUAACUACGUGCCAGCAGCCGCGGUAAUAC
This 405-nucleotide ribosomal RNA is filed under the name uncultured bacterium. RNAcentral describes it as "partial 16S ribosomal RNA". It matches the Rfam family "Bacterial small subunit ribosomal RNA", at positions 28 to 526 of the family's 1533-position model. The record is from RNAcentral.